GCGGGGCAAGUAGGAGGAGGCGCGCGGCCGGUAGGAGGAGAGAAGGGGGAGGGAGAUGGCAUGGUGGGGAAGGGAGGAAGAUGAGGAGAUCGAGGGGGAGAGGAGAUCGAGGAGGAGAGAGAAGAGAUAAGGCAGGGCUGCAGAGGAGACGGAGUCACAGACUCAAGGGGUGGGCACUAGGCAGGGGAAAGGAAACACAAAACAGCCACAUCAACGAUACGGUCCUCCAUUCCUCAACCAAUCAAGAACCAACAACAACUAGCAUUCGGGUUGUGCUUUUCUGACUGUGACCUCCAAUGGCGGGCUAAUUCAUUUUAUUUUUUAUUUUUAGUAUAAUAUAAUUGUAUUUUGGAUUAUAAUUGAAUUGCUUUAUAAGUUUAUCAAUAUGAUCUUUUUUGUGUGCAAAUUGGGCAUGAUUUUGAACCAUAUUAAUAGUACUUGCUUCACAAAAUACAAUUUUUUGCGUUAAAAAAAUGGGAAAACAUUUUUUGGAACGAAAACGUUGUAAAUUUCUUUAACAAUAUUGUUUGUCAUGAAAAGACAACACACGUCUGUGCAAAAAAUGGAUACAAUAUCAUGAAAUAUGUCAUAGAAAUGGCUGUGACUUUGGUCAUUUGGCUUGAAAGCCAUAAACAUUCAUACUCGAUAGUCCAUUUUGUGAAAGAAUUUUUUUAACAUUUGCAAAAUUUUAAGUUUACCAUUUCUCAUAGCAACU
RNAcentral lists this long non-coding RNA (715 nucleotides) under Brachypodium distachyon (stiff brome). RNAcentral describes it as "long non-coding RNA (BDIS_LNC002472)". Lineage: Eukaryota; Viridiplantae; Streptophyta; Magnoliopsida; Poales; Poaceae. The record is from RNAcentral.